Molecule: ribosomal RNA, 497 nt
Filed under: uncultured bacterium
Lineage: Bacteria
Description: partial 16S ribosomal RNA
Rfam family: Bacterial small subunit ribosomal RNA
Source: RNAcentral
GAUGAACGCUGGCGGCGUGCCUAAUACAUGCAAGUCGAGCGAACAGACGAGGAGCUUGCUCCUCUGACGUUAGCGGCGGACGGGUGAGUAACACGUGGAUAACCUACCUAUAAGACUGGGAUAACUUCGGGAAACCGGAGCUAAUACCGGAUAAUAUAUUGAACCGCAUGGUUCAAUAGUGAAAGACGGUUUUGCUGUCACUUAUAGAUGGAUCCGCGCCGCAUUAGCUAGUUGGUAAGGUAACGGCUUACCAAGGCGACGCUGCGUAGCCGACCUGAGAGGGUGAUCGGCCACACUGGAACUGAGACACGGUCCAGACUCCUACGGGAGGCAGCAGUAGGGAAUCUUCCGCAAUGGGCGAAAGCCUGACGGAGCAACGCCGCGUGAGUGAUGAAGGUCUUCGGAUCGUAAAACUCUGUUAUUAGGGAAGAACAAAUGUGUAAGUAACUAUGCACGUCUUGACGGUACCUAAUCAGAAAGCCACGGCUAACUACGUG